AUCAAAAUGGCGGAUUUUUCGAACAAAGGGGAAGUUGUCUCUAAAGGGAUAGCGAAACGGAAAUAUCUGCUGGUAGAUAACGAUUUAGAAGGAUUAGAAUUCGAGUUAAAAGAUAACCCUGUAAAUAAGAGUUAUGCUCCUAUGAAACUAUUCAAGUUAUCUGAAGUGGAAUCUUUGGCCAUUACAAAAUGGGGAAGUAUGGAGAAACUGGAAACUGAGCAGGAAAAGAGAAGGAAACAAAAUUCAAAGCUGGAGAACAGAAAAGAAGAGGAAAAGAAACAUUUCUGGGACUGCAAAGAGCUAUUCGAGCCACUGAAACGCUUCAUGGUAAACAUGGAGUUGCCAAUAGAAAGGGUGUCAUCAUAUUUUAAAGAUAAAGGUGAUAACAGGAAAGCAGCUGGUGGAAGCCCUGACAGCCUUCUUGAAUGUGAUGUAAUCCUGUGUUUUUGUGACUGCUUGCACAACAUCCCUAAUGAUUUUGUGGCGCGUCAAAUAUUUAAAAGAUUUCCUGAAGCUAGGCAAGUGGACAAAGAGACACCAUACAAUGAAAGACGAAAGAUGGGACACUUUUCUUGGACUUCCAGCCUGACUUCAGACCAAGUCAUUGUCAAUUUAUAUGUAGUGCAUAAAUGGAAGGGUGUGUCUCAAAGGCAAGCAUCUUCUUCACUGAUCAAUUUUGAGGCUCUUGCCAUUGGCCUUCAAAGAUUGUCAGCUCUGCUCUCCAAGACACUUGAUAAUGAUGGACGGCAAGCGAACAGUCUGAAAAUUGGGACUUAUGUACCAUACAGAGUGGACUCUGAAACAUGAGCUGCCUGCAAGACCGUGUCAUGGCGGGGCUGCCUAACAGACCUCCGUCAGUGUGUGUUUUGUCACCACAAGAACUAUCUUACGCGAAAGUUGAUUUUGGUAAAAUUCACAUCCCCGCUAAUGCGCUGAUUAUUGCCGAACACGAGCAAAUAUUCCUAACAGUGGCGAGCAUGUUAAAAGAGCUGAAAGCAGUACUCAUUGGGGAUGCUGGUUAUGUUUACACUGGGAAAAUAGGCUGCCGGCUUGUUUUCUUACUCAAAUGUCGCGAUCGUGGACCAGGAGCAGUAAUUCAGACCAUAAAGACGCUAAAACCAAGGGCUGGCAUCUUCCUUGGGUUUGGUAAAUCUCUUGCGAGUAGGCCUUAUGAAAUCGGCGACGUGAUUAUCACAGAUGCGGUUUUACGAAAAGAUUGCCAACAAGGAAAACUUGAAAGUUACGCCUGCAGUGAAUGCUUGGUCAAUGUGUUUGAGAACGGCAAGUAUGGCUGGGUCCUUCCAAAGUACCGCAAACAAGCUGUCCAUGUUGGCAAAGUUCUUCAGAUGGGAAAUGUAACAAAAAAUGAAAAAACCAAGGCAGUAGCUGUAAAAACUACCAGCUUGGAUGUACCCGAAUGCAGUAAAGACCUUGGCAGAAAAUGGAUUUCAAUCGUAGGCGUCCUUGGUACCCCGCGUUACCAUGGCGACUCUUCUUGGGAACCCUAUGUAGCAGCAGUCCUGAGUUCACUCGUCAAUCAAGUCCUGCAAGACGAUCAAGUAUUUGCUAUCAUGGGAGGAGAGGCUAGGGGACCCAGGCAACAUAGUCCUGUCUUGAAUAACCCAAUGCAAGAGACAAUGGAUUGCUCAAUGAAGAUGGACGAAUAUAGUUCUCUAUAUGGUAGGAUAUUGACCCGUGGAAUGCUUAUUUACAUGUUAAUAGUUGGUUUUCACAUGACGUCACUAAAAUUCAAAUUACAAAACUGUUGAUCUUCCU
Molecule: unclassified non-coding RNA, 1776 nt
Filed under: Orbicella faveolata
Lineage: Eukaryota; Metazoa; Cnidaria; Anthozoa; Scleractinia; Merulinidae
Description: uncharacterized LOC110057776, transcript variant X4
Source: RNAcentral